Molecule: long non-coding RNA, 2087 nt
Organism: Mustela erminea (ermine)
Lineage: Eukaryota; Metazoa; Chordata; Mammalia; Carnivora; Mustelidae
Exons: 3
Source: RefSeq, a predicted model, not a curated record
GCCGCACAGGUGACUGGUGUGAGGGGAGCCCUGGCUGGGUGCUGAGGGCUGUCUUCUGGCCCAGGGCUGCUCUGGGGGCCAGCCAGGUGUCCGGGGACCAUUCCCCUGGCCUUGCCGGGCCCUAAUUCCCUUGAAAGCAUGCAUGGAGGUGCAGGAAGCCAAAUGGUCACUCAGGGUCUUUCCUGCUGACACUGGGGCCCCGAAUAUACUUUAUUUAUUUAUCCCAAACCACCCCUCUCCCCUUUAAAAAGAAGUGUGGGUCUCAGUGGUCAGGGCCCAGACAGCUGGGCUUCCCUGUGGGCAAGUGCUUCGGAAGGUCAGGAAGCAGAGUGGGCUUUCUGGGAAUCGUCCCUCUGAUCUUCUGCCCUGUAGCCCCCGCAGAACCCGAGAACCAGAGGUAAGGGCCUGAGAGAGACCCCACCCCUUCGUUAGCACCCCUCCCCCUUCUGAGGAGCUGUACCUCUGCCUCUAUCCUCUGUCCUACCUCCCCCGUGGGGGUGGCCUCCUCUUGGGGCGGAGGAGCAGUAGCCCCCGCCAGCUUGGGAGUCCGGGGCUGGGGCUCAGCCCAGCUCAGCCUUAGAUAGAGCGCUCACUUCCGGGCCUCAGCUUGCCCGUCGGCAAAAUAGCUGUGCGGAGGAGAGGGCUCCGGGACGCUGGCCGCUCGGGUAGCUGUGAGGUUCCCGGCCUUUGCCUGCUCUUUUCUCCGUAAACCUUGUGACGUCCCUGGAAGCAGAAAGCAAGCAGGAAGGGCAAAGUCUCUGGGUGCACAGAGCCUGCUUUGUCUCCUGCUUAAACUGCAGGAAAAAAAAAAAAAAUCACCCUUUCAUUACCGUCUUCUUUCAAUAAGGAAAUGGGCGGAAGCCAGCAUGACCAUGAGUCACAGUGCGAAUCCAGAUCCUCGGGGAGACAUUUAAAGGAUGCUCUGUUACCAGGCUGCCCCUUCCCCCCACCCCAUCGCCACUGGCAGCAAAGGGCCUCUGAGUCGGGGUCUGUUGGUGCUGCCGAAAGCAGGCGCAGGCAUCCAGAAGAACCUGUGAGGUCCAUGGAGGACUGGUCACCACCCCCGUUUCACAGAUGUGGAAGCCCAGCUGUGCUCAGGCAGGACGCCAGGCCGCUCUGACACCAGGUGUGGCCGAGGCGGGCGGCCGUGGAGGAGCGUCUGGGGUCAGUGGUUGACAGGAGUGAGCGAGGAAAGAAGGAAGCCAGCAGGGCAGGGAGGACGAGGCUCGCUCCUGGCCGGGAGCCCGAAAUCCCCAGGGGCCACUGCUGCUGCUGGACGUGGGGUUCCAGCCGGGCUCUGACGGCUCGCAGGAAAGAGUCAGCCGUAUCUACAGGUCAUUUUGGAAGGAGCGGCCGGUCCCCACAGCGUGCCCGCGCACCUGUCACAAAGCCGGCGGAUAAACAUCAGAUUCUGGAAUUUAAUUUAGUGCAGUUCACUGAGCUUCCGGGCUAUAAAGAACAAGUAACUUGGACUAGUGUUCUGUGGUGCACCUAGCAUGACCAGAGCGUGUUUCGUGCCUGUGCUGGGGCAUCGCCUUGCUCUCCGGCGGCCGCAGUCCCUGCCCUUCUGACUGCUUUUCUUCCCUGUGCACCUGAGCCCAUCGAAGUUUCUGGACUAUAAUGUUCACCCCAACCCUGGAACCAGGAGGAAACGUUUACUCGCUGACCAUCUUAGAGGAAGCACAGGCAGGUUGUGCCCGUUUGCAAAUAUACUUUCCGCACUGAGAACUUUGUCACCUUCUAUUCAAGGCAGCAAACAGGCUGGAGCAGAUCCAACGUACCAGGCUGGGCACAGCCCCUGUUUGGGGAAUGAAGGUUUGGGGAAUGGCGUGCCAGACGGUACCCUUUCCGGAGAGAUGCUGAACAGGGGUAAGUGUAACACGUGACCUUUCCCAUUUGCAGGAAAACCCGUCUUGCGUGGAGCAAUCCCCCCGAGCAGGCCUGGUGGGGGGGACGGGAGGCGUUUUGAAUUUAUGAAGGAAAGAGGUGGCAGUUACUUACUGGCAGUAGAACAUGAUGUAGAAAUAAAGAGCAGUUUGUAGCAGAAGUUUUCUAACUUUAUUUCCCAUGUCUAUUGGUAAAAAAAA